UACAGAGGGUGCGAGCGUUGUUCGGAAUUAUUGGGCGUAAAGCGCUUGUAGGUGGUUUGUCAAGUCGACUGUGAAAGCCCUUGGCUCAACCAAGGAAGUGCAGCCGAAACUGGCAGACUUGGGUGCUGGAGAGGGUCGCGGAAUUCCCGGUGUAGAGGUGAAAUUCGUAGAUAUCGGGAGGAACACCAGUGGCGAAGGCGGCGACCUGGACAGACACUGACACUGAGACGCGAAAGCGUGGGUAGCAAACAGG
This 253-nucleotide ribosomal RNA is filed under the name uncultured bacterium. RNAcentral describes it as "partial 16S ribosomal RNA". It matches the Rfam family "Bacterial small subunit ribosomal RNA", at positions 524 to 776 of the family's 1533-position model. The record is from RNAcentral.